GAUGAACGCUAGCGGCAGGCCUAAUACAUGCAAGUCGAGGGGAAGAGCUAGCUUGCUAGCUUGAGACCGGCGCACGGGUGCGUAACGCGUAUGCAACCUACCUCAAUCAGGGGGAUAGCCCGGAGAAACCCGGAUUAACACCGCAUAAAAACACAGGCUAGCAUUACCCAAUGUUCAAAUAUUCAUAUGAAUGGGAUGGGCAUGCGUGCCAUUAGCUAGUUGGCGGGGUAACGGCCCACCAAGGCGACGAUGGCUAGGGGAUCUGAGAGGAUGACCCCCCACACUGGUACUGAGACACGGACCAGACUCCUACGGGAGGCAGCAGUAAGGAAUAUUGGUCAAUGGGGGCAACCCUGAACCAGCCAUGCCGCGUGCAGGAUGACGGCCCUCCGGGUUGUAAACUGCUUUUGUACGGGAAUAAACCUUUCUUCGUGAAGAAAGCUGAAUGUACCGUAAGAAUAAGGAUCGGCUAACUCCGUGCCAGCCGCCGCCGUAA
This 496-nucleotide ribosomal RNA is filed under the name uncultured bacterium. RNAcentral's name for it is "partial 16S ribosomal RNA". It matches the Rfam family "Bacterial small subunit ribosomal RNA", at positions 28 to 523 of the family's 1533-position model. The record is from RNAcentral.